GCAGCAGUGGGGAAUAUUGCGCAAUGGGCGGAAGCCUGACGCAGCGACGCCGCGUGGGGGAUGACGGCCUUCGGGUUGUAAACCUCUUUCGGCCUUGACGAAGCUCUUCGGGGUGACGGUAGGGGUAGAAGAAGCACCGGCCAACUACGUGCCAGCAGCCGCGGUAAUACGUAGGGUGCGAGCGUUGUCCGGAAUUAUUGGGCGUAAAGAGCUCGUAGGCGGUCUGUCGCGUCGGUCGUGAAAACUUGGGGCUUAACCCUGAGCUUGCGGUCGAUACGGGCAUGACUGGAGUUCGGCAGGGGAGACUGGAAUUCCUGGUGUAGCGGUGAAAUGCGCAGAUAUCAGGAGGAACACCGGUGGCGAAGGCGGGUCUCUGGGCCGAUACUGACGCUGAGGAGCGAAAGCGUGGGGAGCGAACAGGAUUAGAUACCCUGGUAGUCCACGCCGUAAACGGUGGGCGCUAGGUGUGGGGGCCAUUCCACGGUCUCUGUGCCGCAGCUAACGCAUUAAGCGCCCCGCCUGGGGAGUACGGCCGCAAGGCUAAAACUCAAAGGAAUUGACGGGGGCCCGCACAAGCGGCGGAGCAUGUGGAUUAAUUCGAUGCAACGCGAAGAACCUUACCUGGGUUUGACAUGCACCAGACGCGGUCAGAGAUGGCUGUUCCCUUGUGGUUGGUGUGCAGGUGGUGCAUGGCUGUCGUCAGCUCGUGUCGUGAGACGUUGGGUUAAGUCCCGCAACGAGCGCAACCCUCGUUCCAUGUUGCCAGCGCGUUGUGGCGGGGACUCAUGGGAGACUGCCGGGGUCAACUCGGAGAAAGGUGGGGAUGACGUCAAGUCAUCAUGCCCCUUAUGUCCAGGGCUUCACACAUGCUACAAUGGCCUAUACAGAGGGCUGCGAGGCCGCAAGGUGGAGCGAAUCCCUUAAAGUAGGUCUCAGUUCGGAUCGGGGUCUGCAACUCGACCCCGUGAAGUUGGAGUCGCUAGU
Molecule: ribosomal RNA, 984 nt
Filed under: uncultured bacterium
Lineage: Bacteria
Description: bacterial SSU rRNA
Rfam family: Bacterial small subunit ribosomal RNA
Source: RNAcentral